AUGCCGGCAAGCUUCCUCUCCUCCCCAUCCGCGACGCUGCCCAACCCGACUGCCUCUCCUCCUCAACCACGCUGCCGCCCGGCUGCCUCUCCUCCCCAACGGUGUCGCAUCCAAGACAUCCACCGCAACAACGAGCUCUGCAUCCCCUGAUUUAGCAUGGAGGGGCAUGAGGGUGACGAACCAGAUUAUCAUCCUGAAGAAUUAGAAGGGCAUGAGGGUGAGAUGGAGCUGUUUAUUGUACCUCCAAAUCCUCCUCGUGUACGGCAGAAAGUUGCAAGUAAAAGGGGGAAGAGGCCAACAUCUAGUGCACGUUCAGGAAGUGGACAAUCGACAUCACAACAGCAGCCUACAGCUGAAGCACACCAGCAGCCUACAGCCGAAGCACAACAACAGCCUAUAGCCAAAGCACAACAGCAGCGCACUGCCUCCUCUAGCAGUAGCAGACUGAAGUCAAAAGUAUGGUUGGACUUCACCAAGAUAUCCAAAGAUGGUGAUGCCUUUAUUGUAGCUAAGUGCAACCAUUGCUCCGCUGAGCUAUCAGCUAAAUCUGGACAUGUUCAAUCUGGUUUGCCAUUGAUUGAUGGUGCCGUGGCCAAACUUAGAGAUGGUAUAAUGUAUCUAAAGGCUUCAAGUAAUAGGUUGCACAAGUUUUAUAGCACUGCUAUAACUACUUUCAACUUAGAAGAAUCGAAGAAGUUGAAACCUGACAUGCCCAUUCGUUGGAAUUCAACAUAUACUAUGCUUGGCUCCUGUUUGUACUUUAAACAAGCGCUGCAGUGGUAUUCUGAAAGGGAUAGCAUCUUCAAGGUGCAUUUUUGGCCAAGUGAGGAAGAAUGGUCCAAGGUAUCUCAUAUGUAUCAGUUUUUGGAGGUUUUCUUCGAGGUAACUACUGUUUUCUCAGGAACAAAAUAUCCAACAGCCAACUUGUACUUCAUGAAUGUUUAUCUAGUUCAUACUGCUAUUAUUGAGGCUACCGAUGGUAUAAAUAGCUACAUGGGUCCAAUGCUGUUUGUUAUGAGAGAAAAGUUCAUGAAAUAUUGGUCUGACUAUAGCGUAUUUCUAUCUUGUGCUGCUGUUCUUGAUCCCCGUAUUAAGUUCAAGUUCUUGGCUUAUUCCUACUCCAAGCUGUAUGAAGAGGAUGAUGCCAAGCGUCGUCUUGCUGAUGUUAGAAGUACCUUGACUUCUUUAUUUAAUGAAUAUGGUAGUGUUGUACCUGUUCAUGACAACUUACCCAAAACUAGUAUGUCAAGCACUUGUGGACUUGGUGCCUUUUCUGAAUAUGAUCAGUAUGUGGAAAGCACGAGCACAUUUGAAGAGAAAUCUGAAUUGGAAUUGUACUUGGCUGAACCUACCAAGAGGUUGAAUGAGAACAUUGAUAUCUUGGAUUACUGGAGCAAGUCUGCAGCUAGGUAUCCGCAGGUAGCAAGAUUGGCACGUGAUAUCCUUGCUGUUCCCGUGUCAAGUGUUGCAUCAGAAUCUGCUUUCAGCUUGAGUAAGAAGGUUAUAACCCCGAGCCGAGCCUCACUUAAACCAAAGACGGUUGAGGCCUUGAUGUGUUUGGAAGAUUGGUAUCGCUGCAAAUUGGAGAAGAAAGAUGGUAUAUAG
This 1605-nucleotide ribosomal RNA is filed under the name Triticum aestivum (bread wheat). RNAcentral describes it as "partial small subunit ribosomal RNA". The record is from RNAcentral. Lineage: Eukaryota; Viridiplantae; Streptophyta; Magnoliopsida; Poales; Poaceae.